RNAcentral lists this ribosomal RNA (253 nucleotides) under uncultured bacterium. RNAcentral's name for it is "partial 16S ribosomal RNA". It matches the Rfam family "Bacterial small subunit ribosomal RNA", at positions 524 to 776 of the family's 1533-position model. The record is from RNAcentral.
UACAGAGGUCUCAAGCGUUGUUCGGAUUCAUUGGGCGUAAAGGGUGCGUAGGCGGCGCGGUCAGUCGGGUGUGAAAUCUCGGAGCUUAACUCCGAAACUGCAUUCGAUACUGCCGUGCUUGAGGACUGGAGAGGAGACUGGAAUUUACGGUGUAGCGGUGAAAUGCGUAGAUAUCGUAAGGAAGACCAGUGGCGAAGGCGGGUCUCUGGACAGUUCCUGACGCUGAGGCACGAAGGUCAGGGGAGCAAACGGG